This 381-nucleotide long non-coding RNA is filed under the name Mytilus galloprovincialis (Mediterranean mussel). Lineage: Eukaryota; Metazoa; Mollusca; Bivalvia; Mytilida; Mytilidae. The record is from RNAcentral.
GCUCAAUCAAUCAAUAAACAAAUAAACAAAUACACAAAUAAGUUUGCUGUGUCAGUACCACAAUUUAAAAAAAGGGAAUCCCUCUGUGUAAGUGAAAGCGAAUUAUGUUAAAUUUUUUUUUAUUGUCUAUAUGCAUUAACAAAAUUAGUGGCCAUGGGUUUUUUUCCAAUUUAGGUUCUACUAAGCCAAACCAUAUAUGUGUUGUUCACGUCAAUGAGGUGAUAAGAAAACAACUCAAAAGUUACCAUAUAUAUACAUCGUAGAGAUCAUAUACGACAUUUGACAAAUACCAGACGGCCAUACGGUAUUCAGGCUCUGAACAAUCUUAUAGAACAAGACCACGUAAACAAGGGGAGGGUGUGAUAUACUUGUAACAGAGGC